Molecule: ribosomal RNA, 301 nt
Filed under: uncultured bacterium
Lineage: Bacteria
Description: partial 16S ribosomal RNA
Rfam family: Bacterial small subunit ribosomal RNA
Source: RNAcentral
CAGUAGCCGCGGUAAUACGAAGGGUGCAAGCGUUACUCGGAAUUACUGGGCGUAAAGCGCACGCAGGCGGUCUGUCAAGUCAGAUGUGAAAUCCCCGGGCUUAACCUGGGAACUGCAUUUGAAACUGGCAGGCUAGAGUCUUGUAGAGGGGGGUAGAAUUCCAGGUGUAGCGGUGAAAUGCGUAGAGAUCUGGAGGAAUACCGGUGGCGAAGGCGGCCCCCUGGACAAAGACUGACGCUCAGGUGCGAAAGCGUGGGGAGCAAACAGGAUUAGAUACCCGUGUAGUCCCUGUCUCUUAUAC